RNAcentral lists this ribosomal RNA (253 nucleotides) under uncultured bacterium. RNAcentral's name for it is "partial 16S ribosomal RNA". It matches the Rfam family "Bacterial small subunit ribosomal RNA", at positions 524 to 776 of the family's 1533-position model. The record is from RNAcentral.
UACGAAGGGGGCUAGCGUUGCUCGGAAUCACUGGGCGUAAAGGGCGCGUAGGCGGAUCUUUAAGUCAGGGGUGAAAGCCCAAGGCUCAACCUUGGAAUUGCCUUUGAUACUGAGGAUCUCGAGACCGGAAGAGGUGAGUGGAACUGCGAGUGUAGAGGUGAAAUUCGUAGAUAUUCGCAAGAACACCAGUGGCGAAGGCGGCUCACUGGUCCGGUUCUGACGCUGAGGCGCGAAAGCGUGGGGAGCAAACAGG